GCCGACAUAGCUCAGCCGGUAGAGCAGAGGUUUUGUAAACCUCAGGUCGGGGGUUCGAUUCCCUCUGUCGGCU
This 73-nucleotide transfer RNA is filed under the name Caldifarciminota bacterium. RNAcentral's name for it is "candidate division WOR-3 bacterium (hot springs metagenome) tRNA-Thr". It matches the Rfam family "tRNA". From Rfam's summary of the family: Transfer RNA (tRNA) molecules are approximately 80 nucleotides in length. Their secondary structure includes four short double-helical elements and three loops (D, anti-codon, and T loops). The record is from RNAcentral. Lineage: Bacteria; Pseudomonadati; Caldifarciminota.